AGAGCCCAAACCAAGAAGCUUGCUUCUUGGGGUUGUAGGACACUCUAUACGGAGUUACAAAAGAAAGUUAUAAAUGAAGCGGUCUGGAAAGGCCCGCCAAAGACGGUAACAGCCCGGUAGUUGAAAUAGCUUUCCCUCCAGAGUGGAUCCUGAGUACGGCGGAACACGUGAAAUUCCGUCGGAAUCCGGGAGGACCAUCUCCCAAGGCUAAAUACUCCCUAGUGACCGAUAGUGAACCAGUACCGUGAGGGAAAGGUGAAAAGCACCCCGGAAGGGGAGUGAAACAGUUCCUGAAACCGUGUGCCUACAAGUAGUUAGAGCCCGUUAAUGGGUGAUAGCGUGCCUUUUGUAGAAUGAACCGGCGAGUUACGAUUUGUUGCAAGGUUAAGCGGAAAAAGCGGAGCCGUAGCGAAAGCGAGUCUGAAUAGGGCGCAUAAGUAACAGGUCGUAGACCCGAAACCAGGUGAUCUACCCAUGUCCAGGAUGAAGGUAAGGUAAUACUUACUGGAGGUCCGAACCCACGCACGUUGAAAAGUGCGGGGAUGAGGUGUGGGUAGCGGAGAAAUUCCAAUCGAACUUGGAGAUAGCUGGUUCUCUCCGAAAUAGCUUUAGGGCUAGCCUCGAGGUAAAGAGUCAUGGAGGUAGAGCACUGUUUGGACUAGGGGCCCUUCUCGGGUUACCGAAUUCAGAUAAACUCCGAAUGCCAUGUACUUAUACUCGGGAGUCAGACUGCGAGUGAUAAGAUCCGUAGUCGAAAGGGAAACAGCCCAGACCACCAGUUAAGGUCCCCAAAUAUAUGUUAAGUGGAAAAGGAUGUGGGGUUGCUUAGACAACCAGGAUGUUGGCUUAGAAGCAGCCACCAUUGAAAGAGUGCGUAAUAGCUCACUGGUCGAGUGACCCCGCGCCGAAAAUGUACCGGGGCUAAACAUAUUACCGAAACUGUGGAUGAACCUCUUUAGAGGUUCGUGGUAGGAGAGCGUUCUAAGGGCGGUGAAGUCAGACCGGAAGGACUGGUGGAGCGCUUAGAAGUGAGAAUGCCGGUAUGAGUAGCGAAAGAAGGGUGAGAAUCCCUUCCACCGAAUAUCUAAGGUUUCCUGAGGAAGGCUCGUCCGCUCAGGGUUAGUCGGGACCUAAGCCGAGGCCGAUAGGCGUAGGCGAUGGACAACAGGUAGAGAUUCCUGUACCAGUGCUAAUUGUUUAACCGAUGGGGUGACACAGAAGGAUAGGGAA
This 1230-nucleotide ribosomal RNA is filed under the name Listeria monocytogenes. RNAcentral's name for it is "bacterial LSU rRNA". It matches the Rfam family "Bacterial large subunit ribosomal RNA", at positions 264 to 1489 of the family's 2925-position model. Lineage: Bacteria; Bacillati; Bacillota; Bacilli; Caryophanales; Listeriaceae. The record is from RNAcentral.